UCCUCAUCCUCUCCUUCUCUUGAGACUCCGACAGGCCGCCUCCAUCUCCGCAGCCGAUCGUGACGCCGACGACCGCCAGGCCGCCUUCCUCAUCCGCUCCUCCUCCACUUGGAUCCGAUCGGCGACCGCUAUUGCUCCUCCGCCUGGUGUCUCGGAUGUCCCACAAUCAUCACCAUUGUUGCCAUUUCAAGGAUUUCAGGUAUGAUCCUCUUUACGCCCUCAACUUCAAUGACACCUACCUCACAGGAGAUCUAUCUAAGUCUGCUAACGAAUGACUAUAAUUUUGAUCGCAAGUUGACAAUCUUGGCCUAGAGUGCUUCCGAAGUGGGUUCAUUUAUUCUAGGUAUCAAAUACUGUUUUCAAAGGAGAAGAUGAUGGUGGUGGAGAAGCUCUCUUCCUUAUAAGAUUUGUGGAUGAUGGGAGACCCUUUUGGCAAUUCAUAGUCAGCUCUUCCACAGGGUGCUCAGAUUCAGUACUUUGAGGAGGUGUAUCACUAUUACACAACUAAUAAAGCAUGACACCUUUUUGAUCCUGAUGUGAAGAAGUUUUUAAAGCCCUGAAGAAAGCUGGAGUGAAAUCUACUGUUGUGUCUAACUUUGACACCCGUCUGCAGCCUCUUUUGCAAGCACUGAGAUGUGAUCACUGGUUCGAUGCUAUUGCAGUCUCAGCUGAGGAGAUAGCAUUAUCACAGGAAGUUGUGGUGUCAUCAAAACAGUUCUGGUAGUUGAUUGAUAUAAGCAAAAGGUUCACUUAUUCAGCCACAUAAGCACAGAAGCUUCUAGCCAACCAAUGGAACAGAGGAUGGGGUGAUGUAUGUCCUUCAAAUAGAUCUCUCUUAUCAUGCAAGGUUCAGGCGUCUUCAUCUACUGACAUGACUACAGUACAAACGAUGUUGCCUACAUUAAAUGAGGGAGGUGCCAUUAAUCAGAUAGAUCAUUCUACACGACAAACUGAAGAUUUCCUGCAACAGCCGUUGAUUAACACUCAAGCACAAAAAGAGCACUUAAUGUUCAUUAUAUGAAUUUCUGGGGAAGAGACCCUGUUUUCGGCGAUCAAAAUAAUCUAAUUAAAAUUUUUGUUCUGCAAAUGUUAUCAGCCUGGAUCUUGUUUGUUCCCCAGCAACAAGG
Molecule: long non-coding RNA, 1127 nt
Organism: Dioscorea cayenensis subsp. rotundata (Guinea yam)
Lineage: Eukaryota; Viridiplantae; Streptophyta; Magnoliopsida; Dioscoreales; Dioscoreaceae
Exons: 8
Source: RefSeq, a predicted model, not a curated record